This 299-nucleotide long non-coding RNA is filed under the name Elaeis guineensis (African oil palm). RNAcentral's name for it is "long non-coding RNA (EGUI_LNC054558)". Lineage: Eukaryota; Viridiplantae; Streptophyta; Magnoliopsida; Arecales; Arecaceae. The record is from RNAcentral.
GAUGCACGGUGGACCAGCCGCUCGGUCCACGGAUUCAAGGGUGCGGUCCACAUGAAAUGUUAUGCAGUCCAUGAUGCGAUCUAUGAGUGAGCGAAUGAAAUUUACACUAAUCGAAAAUUCAGAUUUUAUCUGAAGUGAGAUUCGAUGACUGUGGUGGUUUUUGACUUUGAAUAAGAUUUCUGGGCAUGAUCCAAUGAUCGAAACUCGAUCCAUCACUCGAUUCAAUGGCUAGUAUUCAUCCCGACUGUGUUAAGAAAAUAAAAAGUAUAAUCCAAUGGCCAAAAACUCAUCAAGGGCAC